RNAcentral lists this long non-coding RNA (622 nucleotides) under Homo sapiens (human). RNAcentral describes it as "non-protein coding lnc-TMF1-2:2". The record is from RNAcentral. Lineage: Eukaryota; Metazoa; Chordata; Mammalia; Primates; Hominidae.
GCGGAGAACAAUAUGGCGGAUGGCGAGGAGCCGGAGAAGAAAAGAAGGAGAAUAGAGGAGCUGCUGGCUGAGAAAAUGGCUGUUGAUGGUGGGUGUGGGGACACUGGAGACUGGGAAGGUCGCUGGAACCAUGUAAAGAAGUUCCUCGAGCGAUCUGGACCCUUCACACACCCUGAUUUCGAACCGAGCACUGAAUCUCUCCAGUUCUUGUUAGAUACAUGUAAAGUUCUAGUCAUUGGAGCUGGCGGCUUAGGAUGUGAGCUCCUGAAAAAUCUGGUAAUAUAUAUACAUAUAUAUAUAAAUAUUUUUUUCUUCUUUGUGAUAAGUAAACCUUACUUAUCUGUCAUACUAGGGAAUUUCUCGUGAUUCUUAACCUUUUCUCUUGAGCCUUUGUUAGAUAAGUUUAGCAUGCCAAAUUCCAAACAGUAAUUAAAAUGGUAGAACUUUGGAACUUUUUAAAUUCUAAAGCUCUCAGCUAUAAAGUUAUUGAUAAAAUUUCAUACUUCAGUUUUCUUCUCUGAUCUUUAACAAACAACUUUUGGUGCUUCCUCUGGCAAAACGCUCCUAACUUCAAUGAAGUAAAUAACAAAACUGGCAAUUCAUAUUUUAAUGUAUAGUUUCA